GAUUCUGGCUCAGGAUGAACGCUAGCGACAGGCCUAACACAUGCAAGUCGAGGGGCAGCACAAGGAGCAAUCUGAGGUGGCGACCGGCGCACGGGUGAGUAACACGUAUGCAACCUGCCUGUAAGCGGGGAAUAACCCGUUGAAAGACGGACUAAUACCGCAUAAUACUAAAUUACUGCAUGGUAAUUUAUUUAAACAUUUAUGGCUUACAGAUGGGCAUGCGCAUGAUUAGCUAGUUGGAGAGGUAACGGCUCCCCAAGGCAACGAUCAUUAGGGGUUCUGAGAGGAAGGUCCCCCACACUGGUACUGAGACACGGACCAGACUCCUACGGGAGGCAGCAGUGAGGAAUAUUGGUCAAUGGACGCAAGUCUGAACCAGCCAAAGUCGCGUGAAGGAAGAAUGUCCUAUGGAUUGUAAACUUCUUUUGAAGGGGAAUAAAGUACGGUACGUGUACCGUUUUGUAUGUACCCUUCGAGUAAGGAUCGGCUAACUCCGUGCCAGCCGCUGC
This 509-nucleotide ribosomal RNA is filed under the name uncultured bacterium. Its description in RNAcentral is "bacterial SSU rRNA". It matches the Rfam family "Bacterial small subunit ribosomal RNA", at positions 15 to 518 of the family's 1533-position model. The record is from RNAcentral.